GAAUGAACGACUCUGGGUUAAGCUUCCUGAGCACAGUAUUAACUCCUAUCUAUUGGUUCUUACACAAAAGCUGCAUUUGAAUAUCUUAGCAAGAAUCUGUAUCUGUCUUCUGACAGAUCUGUCUCCAGGAAACCAGAUAGCUAUAUUGAGGGGCUUAAAGCAGGACUAUGAGCUCCCUCCUUCCCACAUCUUUUAGCUGCUCUUCGAGUGACAAAAAAACACUGGAUGACCGGGCUGCAUCGCCCCUGCUGGAGACAUGAACCAGGACUGGCUUCAACAUUACUCAAAACUGGACUUUUCAUGGGAGCAUUCUAUGGUUUUCACUGUCUCUGAUGAGUGAUUGGUAAAAGCUUCUUUGAAAAUCUUGCAUGCUAAGUCCCUCCUCUACGUUCUAUGAUACAAAGACUUGGGGAACUUGAAUCUGUUCACUUAUUGAAGGCCCAGAGCAGGCCUUCAGGACAAUCCUGCUUGGUUCCAGGUUCUCCCUGAGUGGCCCUUUGAAGUGAGGACGGUGGGCAGGUGGUAUUUUGCAAGAUGGCUACAACAAUAUUUCUGGUCCCACAUGCUCUUGCAAACCCUGCUGCUUCCCCAUCAAUAUCUCCUGCAGUCUAUGUUCUUUCUUCUUGACCCUGGGCAGAACUUUGCGCAUGCGUCAAUGAAUAGAAUGUGGUAGAAAUGACAGUGUGUGACUUCCAAGUCUAGGUCAAGGAGGCAGAUGACUUCCACCUGCUUCUCUUUCUCUCUCUCUCUCUUCCUGAGCCACCAUGUCAGAAGUCCAGCUCUCCUGAAGCCAUGCUGUGUGAGAGACCGUGUGCCGAAACUACACUGAGACUGAGUAGCCCGAGGAGCCCAGCUGUUCCUGCCCCGGCUGACUGAGUCUUCUCAGCCUCGCACCAGACGUGUGCGUGAGCAGGACUGCAGAUGACUCCAGCCCCAGUCAUGAGAAAAGCUGAGCGAGAACCACCUUGUUGAGCCCAGUCAACCCCCAUAACCAUGAGAAAUAAUUAUAAUGACCACUG
RNAcentral lists this long non-coding RNA (1019 nucleotides) under Equus caballus (horse). RNAcentral describes it as "lncRNA (ENSECAG00000060097.1)". The record is from RNAcentral. Lineage: Eukaryota; Metazoa; Chordata; Mammalia; Perissodactyla; Equidae.